CAAUUCGACGAACAAAUGGUCAGGUUCCAGGUAGCUGAAAACCCGCGGACCGCUGUGCCGCACUAUAUGCAUAUAUAUACAACUGUAAAUAUAAAUCACGAACACGCAGCUAAAUAUAAAUCACCGUAAAUAAACUAUUAGUAUUUAAUUGAUUCAUCGUAUCAUUGAAAGUCCUUGGACAUCUUCAAGUAUUCUAUAUUGGAAACAUUUGACUAACAAGGAACAUUUUAACCAAAAUUAUAUUGACUCAAGUUUGCUAAAAAUGGUAGUUCACAAACUAUCAGUUACAUCGUUUCGGAAACCACAAGUAAUAACAGUAACUUCGCAACAGCAACUAGUAUCAACCAAUAUUAGCAGUCAAAAAGUUGAUUUUAGUUGCUCAAUAUCAACUUCUAAAAAAAAACUUUGUAGCAAUUGUAUGAAAAGGGGCCCUAUUCAGUGGAGGAGAACUAAAUAUGGCCAUAAUCGUCAGAAUAAUAAUAAAAAUAAACUACUGUAUGCUUUGAUCGAACUACAUAAUCAUUAUAUUCAUGUUAUUAGUUUUCUUAAUAAAAUGAUGACAUUGCUGACUUUGAGUCAACAACAACUUGGUAAGGUAAAAUGACAAGCAUUACAACAACUAUUGAUUAUAUAUAUUGUUUUUUUAAAUUGUUUUAUAAUUUGGCAAUUA
RNAcentral lists this long non-coding RNA (670 nucleotides) under Sipha flava (yellow sugarcane aphid). Its description in RNAcentral is "uncharacterized LOC112692390, transcript variant X1". Lineage: Eukaryota; Metazoa; Arthropoda; Insecta; Hemiptera; Aphididae. The record is from RNAcentral.